GUCUAUGGCCAUGCCACCCUGAACAAGCUCAAUCCCAUCUGAUCUCAGAAACUAAGCAAGGUCGGGCCUGGUUAGUACUUGGAUGGGAGACCACCUAGGAAAACCAGAUGCUGUAGGUG
Molecule: ribosomal RNA, 119 nt
Filed under: Pteropus alecto (black flying fox)
Lineage: Eukaryota; Metazoa; Chordata; Mammalia; Chiroptera; Pteropodidae
Source: RNAcentral